ACGCUCGACACCUACGGGAGGCCGCAGUGGGGAAUAUUGCACAAUGGGGGAAACCCUGAUGCAGCGACGCCGCGUGAGCGAAGAAGUAUCUCGGUAUGUAAAGCUCUAUCAGCAGGGAAGAAGAUGACGGUACCUGACUAAGAAGCACCGGCUAAAUACGUGCCAGCAGCCGCGGUAAUCUGAGCCGGGCUGGCAAGGC
RNAcentral lists this ribosomal RNA (199 nucleotides) under uncultured bacterium. RNAcentral's name for it is "partial 16S ribosomal RNA". It matches the Rfam family "Bacterial small subunit ribosomal RNA", at positions 328 to 539 of the family's 1533-position model. The record is from RNAcentral.